Molossus molossus (Pallas's mastiff bat) is the source of this 708-nucleotide RNA transcript. It is a transcript of the gene named eukaryotic translation initiation factor 4H-like, with no coding region annotated. Lineage: Eukaryota; Metazoa; Chordata; Mammalia; Chiroptera; Molossidae. The transcript has a single exon. The record is from RefSeq and is a predicted model, not a curated record.
GAGCAGAGAUGGCAAAUGGUGAAUUUUGAUACCUACCACUAUUGGGCCUACAGCAGCUUCAGCGGUGGCAGAGGGUUUCUCAGCAGUGCUGGUGGCCAUGGUUCCCGCAGCCAGAAGGACCUGCUCACAGAGCCUCCCUACACAGCUUAUGUAGGAAAUCUACCUUUUAAUAUGGUUCAGGGCGACAUAGAUGCUAUCUUUAAAGAUCUCAGCAAAAAGAGUGUAGGGCUAGUCAGAGACAAAGAUAAAGACAAAUUCAAAAGUUUCUGCUAUGUAGAAUUUGACAAGGUGGAUUUCCUUAAGGAAGCCUUGACAUAUGAAGUUGCACUGUUGGGUGAUCGGUCAGUUCGUGUGGACAUUGCAGAAGGCAGAAAACAAGAUAAAGGUGGUUUUGGAUUCAGGAAAGGUGGACCAGAUGACAGAGGCUUCAGGGACAACUUCUUAGGAGGCAGGGGAGGGAGUCACCCAGGUAACCAGUGCACCAACAGCCCCCAAUGGGAAGUCGUUUCAGAGAUGGUCCUUCCCUUCGAGGAGGAUCCGAUAUGAAUUUCAGAGAACCAACAGAAGAGGAAAGAGCACGGAAACAAUGGCUCCAGCUUAAAUCUUGAACAGUUGUGACACCCCUCAAUUAAGUAGCUAAUCCCAACUCUGCUACCUUCAGAGAAAGCCCCGCCCAGAGAGGAAGUUUCCCACAAGGAGCAAGAAUGA